CCCUUAGACGUUCUGGGCCGCACGCGCGCUACACUGACCGGUGCAACAAGCAUCCGUCCUUGGCCGACAGGCCCGGGCAAUCUUUGAACGCCGGUCGUGAUGGGGAUAGACUUUUGCAAUUUUUGGUCUUCAACGAGGAAUUCCUAGUAAACGCAAGUCAUCAACUUGCAUUGAUUACAUCCCUGCCCUUUGUACACACCGCCCGUCGCACCUACCGAUUGAAUGGUCCGGUGAAGCCUCCGGAUUGGCGCGCACCUCGGUGCCGCCGAGAAGUUGGCUAAACCUUACCAUUUAGAGGAAGGUGAAGUCGUANCA
Molecule: ribosomal RNA, 315 nt
Filed under: uncultured eukaryote
Lineage: Eukaryota
Description: partial 18S ribosomal RNA
Rfam family: Eukaryotic small subunit ribosomal RNA
Source: RNAcentral